GGAGAAUCUUAGAUUUUCUUGAUGUUCUGUAGAUCUAUCAGCAAUGUAGCAACAGGGAUGUUGCUACAAGCAAAAUCCAUGGCAUGGAUGCCAUGUCUUUUGUGGUUGCGGGAAAAAAAUGAAUUUUGGCAGAACAUUUAGAAAAUAUUAGAUUCGUAA
This 159-nucleotide non-coding RNA is filed under the name bovine gut metagenome. The record is from RNAcentral.